RNAcentral lists this ribosomal RNA (234 nucleotides) under Escherichia coli. Its description in RNAcentral is "partial 16S ribosomal RNA". It matches the Rfam family "Bacterial small subunit ribosomal RNA", at positions 1 to 231 of the family's 1533-position model. The record is from RNAcentral. RNAcentral also lists the same sequence under 3 other names. Lineage: Bacteria; Pseudomonadati; Pseudomonadota; Gammaproteobacteria; Enterobacterales; Enterobacteriaceae.
AAAUUGAAGAGUUUGAUCAUGGCUCAGAUUGAACGCUGGCGGCAGGCCUAACACAUGCAAGUCGAACGGUAACAGGAAGCAGCUUGCUGCUUUGCUGACGAGUGGCGGACGGGUGAGUAAUGUCUGGGAAACUGCCUGAUGGAGGGGGAUAACUACUGGAAACGGUAGCUAAUACCGCAUAACGUCGCAAGACCAAAGAGGGGGACCUUCGGGCCUCUUGCCAUCGGAUGUGCC